GACGAACGCUGGCGGCGUGCUUAACACAUGCAAGUCGAACGGUGAAGCGCCUUCCUUUUUGGUGGGUGUGGAUGCGUGGCGAACGGGUGAGUAACACGUGAGUAACCUGCCCCCUUCUUCUGGAUAACCGCAUGAAAGUGUGGCUAAUACGGGAUAUUCUGGGUCUGUCGCAUGAUGGGUCUGGGAAAGAUAUUGUUUCGGUGGGGGAUGGGCUCGCGGCUGAUCAGCUUGUUGGUGGGGUGAUGGCCUACCACGGCGGUGACGGGUAGCCGGCCUGAGAGGGUGGACGGGCCGACUGGGGCUGAGAAACGGCCCAGACUCGAACGGGAGGCAGCCGAGGGGAAUAUGGGACGAUGCGGGGGAGCCUGAUGCAGCGAGGCCGCGUGAGGGAUGGAGGCCUUCGGGUUGUGAACCUCUUUCGCCAGGGAAGCAGGCCUGCCUCGUUUGUGGGUGGGUUGACGGUAGCUGGAUAAGAAGCGCCGGCUAACUACGUG
This 494-nucleotide ribosomal RNA is filed under the name uncultured bacterium. Its description in RNAcentral is "partial 16S ribosomal RNA". It matches the Rfam family "Bacterial small subunit ribosomal RNA", at positions 28 to 507 of the family's 1533-position model. The record is from RNAcentral.